This is an unclassified non-coding RNA of Callithrix jacchus (white-tufted-ear marmoset), 147 nucleotides long. It matches the Rfam family "Metazoan signal recognition particle RNA". Rfam says of the family: The signal recognition particle (SRP) is a universally conserved ribonucleoprotein. It is involved in the co-translational targeting of proteins to membranes. The record is from Ensembl. NCBI's taxonomy places the organism in Eukaryota, Metazoa, Chordata, Mammalia, Primates, Cebidae.
GCUGGGCAUGGUGGUGCAUUCCUGUAAUCCAGCUACUCAGGAGGCUGAGGCAGGAGGAUCACCUGAGCCCAGGAGUUCGUGGCUGCAGUGAGCUAUGAUCUUGCCACUGCACUCCAGCAUGGGUGACAAAGUGAGACCCUGUUUCUA